AUGGACUGCUCGGAGGUCGCCAACCUCUGGACCACUCGCCAUGACUCUCGUUCAGUCGUGGCUCCUAUCCUGUUAGAAAUUGGGGAGCUCUCUAGUAGUUUCACUUUUUUUGAUAUUCGGCAUAUUGUAAGAUCGACCAACGGUCCUGCUCAUAUUUGUGCUAAGCAAGCUUGCAUAAUAGACGUGACAGAAAGCUGGAUCGAUAACACUCCUAGUUUCCUAAUCAGUAGCCUUUUGGCAGACUGCUCGGCCAAUGCCUUUAAGCAAUAA
This 270-nucleotide ribosomal RNA is filed under the name Triticum aestivum (bread wheat). RNAcentral describes it as "partial small subunit ribosomal RNA". Lineage: Eukaryota; Viridiplantae; Streptophyta; Magnoliopsida; Poales; Poaceae. The record is from RNAcentral.